Molecule: ribosomal RNA, 963 nt
Filed under: uncultured euryarchaeote
Lineage: Archaea; Methanobacteriati; Methanobacteriota
Description: bacterial SSU rRNA
Rfam family: Archaeal small subunit ribosomal RNA
Source: RNAcentral
CAGCCGCCGCGGUAAUACUAGCGGUCCAAGUCGCAGCCACAUUUAUUGGGUCUAAAACAUCCGUAGCUUGUUUGAUAAGUUUCUUGUGAAAUCUUGUCUCUUAAAGACAGGGCGUGCAAGAAGUACUGUCAAGCUAGAGACUGGGAGACGUAAAGAGUACGUCUAAAGUAGCGGUAAAAUGCUUUAAUCUUAGACGGACUAACAAUAGCGAAGGCACUUUACGAGAACAGUUCUGACAGUCAGGGAUGAAGGCUAGGGGCGCAAAACGGAUUAGAUACCCGUGUAGUCCUAGCAGUAAACACUGUACACUAAACAUUGGGACCUCUUCGAGAGGUUUCAGUGCUGCAGGGAAGCCGAAGAGUGUACUACCUGGGAAGUAUAGUCGCAAGGCCGAAACUUAAAGGAAUUGGCGGGGAGACACUACAAUGGGUGACGCGUGCGGUUCAAUUAGAUUAUACACCGUGAACCUCACCAGGAGCGACAGCAGGAUGAAGGUCAGUCUGAAGGGCUUACCUGACACGCUGAGAAGAGUUGCAUGGCCGACGUCAGCCUGUGCCGUGAGGUGACCUGUUAAAUCAGGUAACAGGCAAGACCCACAUCUCUAUUUACUAUUGAACUAUAGAGAGAUUGCCUCGGUAACGUGGAUGAAAGUGUGGGCUACGUUAGGUGAGUACAGCCCGAAUCCCCUGGGCAACACGCGCGCGUCAAUGGUGAAUACAACGAGAUGCGACUCUGAAAGGAGAAGCUAAUCUCUUAAAGUUCAUCUCAGUCCAGAUUGAGGUUUGUAACUCAGCCUCAUGACGAUGGAAUCCAUAGUAAUCGUUUGUUAGCAGCGAACGGUGAAUACGUCACUGUCUCUUGCACACACCGCCCGUCAAACCAACCGAGUUUUGUUAUGAUGAAACUCUUCUGAGGAAAACCAUGGCAAGAUGAGGUAGGUUAAGUCGUAACAAGGUAACCGUA